RNAcentral lists this transfer RNA (88 nucleotides) under Puccinia triticina. Its description in RNAcentral is "tRNA-Thr". It matches the Rfam family "tRNA". From Rfam's summary of the family: Transfer RNA (tRNA) molecules are approximately 80 nucleotides in length. Lineage: Eukaryota; Fungi; Basidiomycota; Pucciniomycetes; Pucciniales; Pucciniaceae. RNAcentral also lists the same sequence under 1 other name. The record is from RNAcentral.
GUGCCUGUAGCCUAGUUGGUAAAGGCAGCACUCUAGUAUGUGUCUCAGCAUAUAGCUGAGGUUGUGAGUUCGACUCUCACCAGAAACA